Molecule: long non-coding RNA, 2748 nt
Filed under: Homo sapiens (human)
Lineage: Eukaryota; Metazoa; Chordata; Mammalia; Primates; Hominidae
Description: HSALNT0396736
Source: RNAcentral
CUUACGUUAGUUAACUCAUGGCCUCCAGUGUGGCCGGUACGAGUGCUUCAAUGCCGGGAGCUGAAAAGGAACAGUCACUCCGGAACAGGAAAUAACCUCUGAGCCGAGCACCACGCCCUGACUCCCUUCUUCAGGGAAAGCCCCCCGGGGCCUCUGAAGCACCCUCGCCCCACUCUCAACCCCCUUGGGGGAAAUCAGAAGCCAAACCUAGAUUCACAGUGUCAGGGAUCUUCCCUAGAGUCUGGGUCACGCCCCUCUUCCUGGAGGGCUUCAGGCACACCUGGCGCCCAGGAACUGCCGCCGACCGGGCUGCGCCCUCUCUCAAGCCUGGGUGUCCCCUCCGCUCAGAGGUCGGCGCGGGCGAGCGUCAGGGAAGGCUGUCCCCGCGGGCUUCCUGCUGCCGACCCCGUGCGCGGGGCCCGGAGGCCGGGUCCUUUAGGGUCCCCGCCGCAGGCUAAACUUCAGUGCUGGAGGUGCAGGGGCCACCGCCUCGCGCGGUCGGAUUCCAGCCCCUGCUCACCCUGUCCUCGCCUGUUAACUUACAGCUUUUCUUGUCUCCCACCUCCUUGCCGAGUCCCGCACAUCUGUAACUUCAGCGACGCUGAAGUUUGCAGCCCGCGUGAGAGGCGCGGCCCUGGGGGACAGGGCAGAGUUAAAACGCGACUCGGGCCUCCCUCCCCAGCUCCACUGCCCCGGGCGUGCCCUGAGCCUGCGGCCUUGGCAGUGGGCCCGGAAGGGUGGGUGCUGCCCCAAGGUCGCAUCCAGGCCCUCGGACCCUGCCGGGGCCAGUAGUGGGCAAGACGAGACUCCAAGAGCGGCCGGGCCGCUGGGGUCACUGGGGAUAGUCCUGAGGUCUUGCCGGGUAGGAUGGGGGUCCCAGACCCACGCUCCAGCGGGGACGCCCCGACUCCAGCCCGGCCCCGGCUCCGGACCGGCCGGGUCUCCGACACCGUCCGCCACGCACGCCGAUCCGCCCCCUCUCUGGCAGAACUGGGCCCUGGGCGUGGCCGUGGCCGUGGGCGUGGCUCUACCCAUGGCCUGAGCGCGCGGGACCCGGAGGGCUGAUGCCUCCCCGCCCCGUCUCCACAGCAACGGGCGUGUGCGGGGACCCAGAGCUGGCUGGGGUGGAAACCGCGGCCUACUUUCCCGCCUCCAGCAAACUCUGCAAUUGCUGAGGUUGAUUUAGCAGCACCCAAGGGAUCUGGGUCGGCAAGAGCACCUCAGUGACAGCCUGGCACCGGGGUCCGCAGGAGAAGGCCAGGCUGGGGCCAGGGAGCUGAGGCUGAGGAGGAGCGUUUGCACAGGCUAGGGAGACACGGCACAGCAGUAUCCGCCUCAGACAUUUGUAGCACCGUUAGUCCUGCCACUUUCUCUCACUGUAGCUUCGCAACAGACUUGGGAACCAAGCAAGGCAUGGCUGAGGAAGCUUAAGCCCAGUCUGGGCUCGCGGAAGAAGCUGGUGGAUCCAAAUAUCUGCUUCCUGCCUCCACCCACCCCUCCCCGCUCCCGUGGUUGGGGAACUCCAGAGCCCCACAUCACAGUUCAGCACGUGCCUCAGGAGCUUCAGCACCUCCUUCGUGAAAGGAGAGUCUGCCGGUAACGGGGGAAGCAGGCCAUCAGCCUGCCCAGCUUCAUCUCAGGCCGCUUCCAACAGCGCCAAGCAAACUCCCUUGGCAAGAUCCAUGCAAGGCCGCGGCUGACCACCGGGAGGCAGCAGCCUACUCUGCAAGGCACUCUCUUUACCCGACCCCCACCCCCUUUUAACAGGUGGCAGGAAACCUGCUGGCCCAGCCAUCUGCCGCACCCACCCUUCACUCCCAGUCCCAUCUCCCCAUAGCACAGAUUUCCCUAUCAUGAGCCCAGACGUGGCCUGCAUCUCCUCUUGCCUUCCUCUGCCCAAGGAAUCCCUACAGAGAUUCUUUCUCUAUCUUCCUUUAUACAUUUCCACAGAAUUGUUUCCCCAGGGCCCCUCCCCUUGAAGAAAUUAGACAGGAAGCUGGAGUAGAUGGUUCCCUCUUUCCCACCUCUCACACUCCCAAGCUCUGGUUAACUCUCUGUGGGCCAGUGGCUAGAUUCCCCAACACAGAUGACAACUGAACAAUACACAUGCAGCGUAAGAAUGUUGUCGCUGCCACCAGCCACUUACAGAUACACCAUUGCUAAGGUCCACCCAACUGGACUGUUUCCCCCUUCCAUAGACUAAGCCCCAAAGGCCAAAAAUAAAACCCCCUACCCCAAACCUGCCUAUAACUGUUUGACCAGAGGCCAGCUGUCCCAGGAUGCGGUUAAGAUGUCUACCUUGCACAACAGAACUGGCAAGAAAAACAUCUCCAGGAAGCGGUCAGAUACACGGCACAAAGGACUCCCCCCUCCCCGCUUUUCCUUUUCCUUCACCCUGACCCAGUUCUACGCCCUGUAAGACGUUGCUCCAGCCUAUAAGUGGGGCUGCCUCCUCUGCUUUUGUCAAGAGAUAGCCCGGCAGGACUGACAAUAAAUCAGUUUGCCUGAACUUGGGUCUAUUGGCCUCAUUCCUUUCUUGGCUGUCCUUCCAAUUAUCCCUUACAACCAUCUCCCACCCUCUGAAGGCACUGCACCCAAUCCCCAGCCGUUCGCAGUCUGGUCAGGGCUGUCUGUGCAGGACUUGUCAUGGCUGAGGCCCACAUAGCCUCAAGCCACUCUGAAGUCAGCUUGCUGUUUCCCCUGGAGCCUGGAAAUACAUCCCUCUUCAGGUAAACAAAAGCAGAAAAA